AACAAGGGUCUGCUCUGCUGGUAAACAUUGCCCACGGAAGUGACGGGAGAAGGAGGCUUGGGAAAUUCAUGAGAUGUGAACCAGCUCCACCCCACAGGGCACUUUGUGAAUAACCACAGGGGAAAAUCUGCGUCAGGAGCAAGAAGGUGGAAAAUGUGGAUUUUCCUGGUUUGGACCCUUUUGCCAGCUGAUUCAUCCACCACCAAAGGCAGCGAUGUGAGCCCAGUGGCCACCACGGGCUUUGGGGAGCCUCCAGUGCUGUCCCAGCUCAACAUCAUCUACCUGCUGCUCAUCCCUGGCGUGAAGGUGGCUGUGGCGCUGCUCCUGGGGUGUGUGACUGCCUGGGUAAGGAGCCAACGCAGGAACCAUGGCCAGGAAAACCUGCAGCUCUCCGAGGUGGCUGGUACCAGGGCACUGGGCUGCCCACCAAUCCCAGAGCCACAGGGACACCCUCCUGCCCCUUUACCCCCCACCCUGCUGGGGCUGUGACACCCAUCACGGCCACCCUGCACCAGGAUGUGCUCGGCUCUGGGGGCUUCUCCCCCAGUGAAGCAUCAGCCUCUCCUGGCAGCCCCUGCACUGGAGAGGGGAAGGUUUGGGGCACAGAGAGCCUGUGUCUGCUGAGCUGGAGCUGCCAACUGGUGCCAGGUUUG
This 653-nucleotide long non-coding RNA is filed under the name Strigops habroptila (Kakapo). RNAcentral's name for it is "lncRNA (ENSSHBG00005015147.1)". Lineage: Eukaryota; Metazoa; Chordata; Aves; Psittaciformes; Psittacidae. The record is from RNAcentral.